Molecule: long non-coding RNA, 560 nt
Filed under: Prunus persica (peach)
Lineage: Eukaryota; Viridiplantae; Streptophyta; Magnoliopsida; Rosales; Rosaceae
Description: long non-coding RNA (PPER_LNC004430)
Source: RNAcentral
UAGAGCAGAACUCAGAGGUUCCCUGACAGACAUCUAGUUAUUAUUAUAACAAAUAUCAAACAUGACCAAGUGCUCAAACAAAGUAUUGAUUGUCAGUUUAGCAAUAUAAUUAUAAAAGUGUUUCCUUGUUUUGGACAAGAAGUCUACUAAGAAAACCAAAAAGAAAAAGAAAAAAAAUGCUUACUUAAUUGCUUUUAUUGCUGGAAUUGUUAGCCCUGAAGAUUAACAAUACAUGUGCAGUCUAUGUAUUAAUAGUCGUCAGGGUAUUAACGGCGUAUUAACAGUGGUCAGAGUAAGGGAGUUUUAUUGAUUGAAAGCUAAAGGAGAGACAAUUGAGAUUUUUUCUUCUCUGGCAUGUACUUCUCUUUUCGGAGCUUCGAACUAUACAUACAUCAUUAACCGACUUCACUUCUUGGCUAAGGAUGAAGAGCACCUCUUCUCUCUAUCUUUAUGAACUUACAUAUCACACUCUUCACACACACCUUCAGACUUCACAUGCUCACUAACAAAAACAAACGAAUUUAAAUGCACACUAAGACAAAAUGCACUAAAAAAUAUGC